Molecule: long non-coding RNA, 1997 nt
Organism: Nyctereutes procyonoides (raccoon dog)
Lineage: Eukaryota; Metazoa; Chordata; Mammalia; Carnivora; Canidae
Exons: 7
Source: RefSeq, a predicted model, not a curated record
CGGUUGGAGGAGUGGGGCUGCGAGGCCGUGUCUCGGAUCCGCAGCCCGGCAGAGUGUGCGUAAACCCUUCCCCCGUCCGGAGGGGACCCAGCCAGCCCGCGUCCUGCCAGCUCGGGGGGGAUCGGAGGCGGGUGUUAGUGGUUAGAGGAAACUUUCCAGCAGAGCGCCUCGCCGGAGCAAACCGCGCAUCUGCCGAGACCGCUCCCUGGGCGCUCUUGCGAGCAGCUUCUGUUCCAGCGCGGUAGAAGCAGAAAGGAAGCGAAGGUCUGUGCAUCUGACAGCUAACGCUGAGGACCGGUGGGAAAAUCACACCCCCCCCAGCCCCCCCAGCUAAUGAAUAUGAAGAAACAGGCUCAGAGGGAGUAAGAAGCUAACUCAAGGGCUCAAGGUGACACAGCAAAACUGGAAUCUGAAACCAGAGAUUUGCCUGGGCAGCAGAGGCUGUCGGUGGAGGCUCGGGCUCCAGCACAAGGAGGCAGCAAGUCGUAUUGCUGGAAAGUGCUCUGCCGAUUGACCUCAGCUUCACUGAAGGGUGUUCCUGGGAAAGAUGAAUGCCACUGGAAGCGGAAAUUCUUGGCAAUGAGAAAAAAACCUGCCUGAUGCAGACACAUGCCCCACCCAAGCGAUUCCCAGCUGCAAGGGAUUCAGCAAGUCUCUGGGUCCCGCUGCCCUCGAUCCAUCGAUCCAUCACAGGGGAGGCAGGUCUGGGGAGAGCCAGUCGGCUAGGGUCUAUCCCCUUCCUCUCCCCUGUGCCAGGGUUGCAUUCACAGCACCCACGCCCAGAGCCACCUUGCUGAUUUGAAUCAAGGGAGACCAGGCAGGUCCAGCAGACCUUGGCAUCUCAGCCUCUGCAAGUGAAGAAGCCUUGAAGCUGCGACCCGGGAAUCUGGGGGAGGCCUGGAGACCACGUGCCCAAGAAGGGAUCCAAAGAGGGGGGCUGUGAAGCCAGGCCAUUGACAACAUCGGCAAAUCCCAAAGUAAUCUCCAGCUGCUUUGAUCUCCUAAGUACCCUGCUGCCCUGGACGCCCACUGCCGUGGCCAGGUGGGAGGUCGGCAUGGUGCAACAGCAGGAAGACUCCUUGUCAGUGGGAGAGAGGAAGAAGGAAGAGAGGAAGAAGAGCCCAGAGGACUGGCAGCCGGUACAACACAAGCUCAAGAGCAAGGACUGUGUGUGAAAUAUUCAUCACUGGACCUAGAGUACAACACAGAGAUGCUUAGUUACUUUGAAGCUCAAAUGAGGCAAAAUGCAUGAAGGCACUUUGAAGAUUUUAUAAAGCACCAUCAGAGUGUGUUACAGGGUAAGUAUGUCUGGACCCUCUCAAAGGAAGUUUAUUACUUAUAGUUCUGGGUCUGUUUAAGAAAAUUUUUAUAAAACUAUGUUUUUAACUAUAAGAUCAUUUAUAAAAUAGCAGUAUACUUUAUUAUAAAACUGUGUUUCUUGAAUCCCAGGUCUAUGGAGAUUAUUAACAUAUCAAAUAGUUGGUUGACAAAUAUUUUCCUUUAUAAAUUGCAGUUGCAAAGAAAAUGUCAAGGUAUGUGUUAAUGGUCAUAAUUUAUUGUCAUUAUUCACUAAGCUAAUAACUAGCAGUUUCAAUAAUUACUAAAUGCUUUUACAAACACACUAUUUCAUUGAAUCCUUAUGGCAAUCCCAUAAAACAGGUAGAGUGGCCCUCUAGGGUUAGAAUUCUAGAGCCUGGAAAACACAUGCUUUUAACCACUAUACUACAUUAUGCAGGAAAAACACAAGAAAAAGUAAUGAUCUUUUCUGUCUUCACCAAAUCACAUAAUUAAAAGAACCAAUAGAAUAAAUGGUUCCAAACUACAUUUUGAUCCUUGGUAAUAAAGGUGACUUUAGAAAAGUUGUAUCAGUGCUUACAAUUCAGUUCAUUUUAAAUCUUUAAAAAAUGCUUCCAGUUUUUUUCUUUCUGAAAAUAACACAUUGUUCACUGAAAAAAAAAACCCACAGAAUUAAAAUCUUAAUAUAUUAUUUCAUCAUU